Non-coding RNA from Paramuricea clavata, 753 nucleotides. The record is from the annotation of a GenBank genome assembly. NCBI's taxonomy places the organism in Eukaryota, Metazoa, Cnidaria, Anthozoa, Malacalcyonacea, Plexauridae.
UUGUAAUACAUAAUUUUAAAACCAGAUGAUUCAUCAUCCUUUUAAUUUCAAAAUUGUUUUGAAUUGUGAUUAGGCGGAGUCCGGGCUGUAACAAGAUGCAAUAAUUGGGGGGGGGGAGGGUGCAUAAUUGGGGGGGGGGUGCAUAUUGAUAUGUUAACAUACCAUACCAUAAAAGCAAUCAAUUUCAAAAGAAGUCUUAUUCGUCUGGCAGAACACAUAUAUAUAUAUGAACAUGCAACCCCCCCAAAAAAAUUAUCGUGUCUUGUUAUGGCACUGCGAGGAGUAAUGGAAAAGUGAAGGGGUAGUUCAUGGCCACUAAAUGUUUUAAGAUGACCUAAUGAAGGUAGUAUAUUAAAAAUCAAACCUAACAAGAAUGAGCUGAAAAAAUAUGACUUGUCCACUCACAUCAGGCACAUGAAAACUUACAUGUAUUUUUUUAUUCAUUUAGCUUUGCCAACUAGGGUAGGGUCACCACAACAGCAUAUGCCAAUUACUGUGGGCCCUUUUUACCUAACGCACCCUGUCAACUUUCCCUGUGGGAGGAAACUGGAGUACCCGGGAAACCCACAACUUUCAGCAGAGCGUUGACUUUUGCUCUUUUCACAUAUAUGAGGACUCGGUUCGAGUCGCAUUGAGAAGUUUCUCACUGAGGCUUGAACCUGCGGCCUCAGAGGUGAAAGGCAAGUGCGCUUAUGAGCUAGACCAGAGUCUAUCAAGACUAGAGUCUAUUGGUCUACCUGAACUAGACCAGAG